Long non-coding RNA from Varroa destructor (honeybee mite), 2074 nucleotides. The record is from RefSeq and is a predicted model, not a curated record. NCBI's taxonomy places the organism in Eukaryota, Metazoa, Arthropoda, Arachnida, Mesostigmata, Varroidae.
CGUGCCAAAAUGGACACUCUGUCCAAACAUCAGACGCGCAAUUGAGUUGUAACCGUGACGCAAUUUAUUGAGAGCGGUAAAUUAGCUAACCUCUCUGUUGUUGCGGGCGGUGCGUGACAACCUAAUGUGUUGUACGUCACAUGGCAAAAUGCCUGGAUGAGAGGCAGGACAACAUUUUGAGAGCCUGUACCUUGUUUUGCCUUAGCAAAUCUCAUCUUACAGCUAAAGAUGAACUCAGUCCGGCAGAAAAAUGAAGCGGGCGGUUCAAUUUUGACCAUUUCGAUUAGCGGCUCCUCUCGCUGCACCAACCAAUAAAAUGAUCUGAGACGCGCCGUAGCAUAUGUACACUUAUGUGGGCAUACAUAUCAACUUACUGCUUAUAAGACUAAAAGCGAGGAUAACUUUUGAUCGCUGCAACCCCAGCGGCUCUGGAGUUAACCGUAUAGCCGGUCCGGCGCACCUCAACAACAGAAGUAACAGCACUGUUAGCCAAUCCACUCAGAUGUACACACACGCUAGUACGUAUUUCGCUUGGAUGCAGGUAUUAGGAGAGACAACCGCAAUCUUGAACGCUGCUACAUCAAUUUCAACAUCUGUCGCCGUCAUUGGCUUGUAUGCUGGCUUCUGUUGGACGUAUGAGAACUCCGCGCUGUCCUACUUCACGCUCCGCCAGUCGAAGAAAUUCGAACAAUCAUAGCUUUUCAAUAGGCCCGCAAAUGGGGCUUCAACAACUGAGGCCGUAACAGGAAGGGUUAGGAUACUGUAAGGGACCCUUUUGGUAGGGGACGAAAUGGUGCCGCUUCAUCUUAGAGGAUACAGCACUAUUACAUUGAAGCAUAUAAAAAUGCAGAGUCCAAAAAUUUAUAAUAAGAUCAAGAUAGACUUAUCAUUCUGCCUCAUUAGCUGCCCGAGCGUGUACACAGAGAACACUUGCAGAUCACAGAUGCAGCCAACCUUUGCAAAUAUCAAAAGAAAAUUGCAUCGGGAAAAUUGAGUACAGCUCCCAUGUUUGCUACUCACGCAAUACCGUUCAUAGGCACCGAGACGACGGCAACGAUUCCGUGAUAGAUGGAUAUUUAUGUUGAAUCCUUCAUAUAAGUACCUCGUCUGGUCGAUGGAUGUUUUUGGAGAUUCACUGCAAUUGAACCAUGCGUUCAUUCGCCCGCCAUUAACUUCAGGAACAAGCUCUAACGUCAGUGCUAUAGAUUAUUUACUGGAUGCGGUGAUAUUUCAUAAAAACAACAUGUGUUCUUACCCCAGAAGUCAAACGUAUCGUUACUGUGAUCUAAACCUUACGGAGUUUACAAUCUAGCGAAAGAGACCAUUUGAAUGCGGUGUGGCGAUGCUCCCCGAUCGAGCUUGAGCAACAACCACGUAGGUUACCAUUCAUUUCUAGCCAGCCUGGGGUUCUAUCUAUCUAUCUAUCUGUCGAACGGAGAAUGAACACAGAAGAAAAACUUCGUUGGAUGAUUCGGUGUUGGAAUUCUUGCUACGCACGGUGUCUAGAACAUCAUGAAGGUAGAAGGUAGCAUUCUUGUCGUUGUACACGAUGUCUCCGUCAAAUAAAUGACAUUAUCAAGCAUCGGUCGAACAUCAGUGAACAAAACAAGGCAAGGCAGGAAGGUUGCAAAGGAACGAAGCCUGACAGCUGGCCUGUCCUCGAUUGCAGGAGCGUUGGUUAUUUUGACUUAUGCACGCACUUAAGGUAGCACUCAACCUUGAAUAAAAGUGCACAGUUUGAUCUCUACGUACAAAUACAGUAAAGCUAAAAAAAAAAAAGUAAUAAAAUGAAAGGCCGAGACAAAUUUGGUCAUUACGAAAGCAAAGCACAAAUGAUAUCCAAUCAAAACGCAUGAAAAUUGAGCGGAUUCACAAACACAAUUGGAAAACCCUUUGUCACCGAGCUCAUUAGACCUAUCAAACAUUUAUGAAGACCCAGAUCUCAUAACAGGAAUUGUUUGCACAGGAAAAUAUAUCCACCUGUCUCUGCUUCCAAUUCAGUAACUUAAGUUUAAGUGGCAUUGCCUUAUUAGUAUUAAGAACGCCAUAAUCGGAGAAUCUUAUAGAAAACUGC